GCCCAGACUCCUACGGGAGGCAGCAGUGGGGAAUAUUGCACAAUGGGGGAAACCCUGAUGCAGCAACGCCGCGUGAGUGAAGAAGUAUUUCGAUAUGUAAAGCUCUAUCAGCAGGGAAGAAGAUGACGGUACCUGAGUAAGAAGCCCCGGCUAACUACGUGCCAGCAGCCGCGGUAAUACGUAGGGGGCAAGCGUUAUCCGGAUUUACUGGGUGUAAAGGGAGCGUAGACGGCAUAGCAAGUCUGAAGUGAAAGCCCAAGGCUCAACCAUGGGACUGCUUUGGAAACUGUGUUGCUGGAGUGCUGGAGAGGCAAGCGGAAUUCCUAGUGUAGCGGUGAAAUGCGUAGAUAUUAGGAAGAACACCAGUGGCGAAGGCGGCUUGCUGGACAGUAACUGACGUUGAGGCUCGAAAGCGUGGGGAGCAAACAGGAUUAGAUACCCCCGUA
Molecule: ribosomal RNA, 446 nt
Filed under: uncultured bacterium
Lineage: Bacteria
Description: bacterial SSU rRNA
Rfam family: Bacterial small subunit ribosomal RNA
Source: RNAcentral